CCGGCUGAUGACACUAAGGCGAAUGCGACUCCGUGCUCUCUGGUCCUUGGCUCCCUGGGGAUGGAGGUUUUGAAUGGGAUCUGAAAUCUUAGUGGGUGCCUAAGGCCUGGCUCCUCACUGUAAGGCGGAUCCAUAGCACCGCCGGCCUCGCCUCCAUUUCUGCUGCUGCCUCCAGUUCCUGGCAGCUGCCUGCAGGGGGGCCCACAGGUGGGGACCAAAGCGGGACUAGGCACGAGCUAUCUGAGCGCAACCUUGGAUCUGACA
This is a small nucleolar RNA of Ailuropoda melanoleuca (giant panda), 264 nucleotides long. The record is from Ensembl. NCBI's taxonomy places the organism in Eukaryota, Metazoa, Chordata, Mammalia, Carnivora, Ursidae.